RNAcentral lists this ribosomal RNA (253 nucleotides) under uncultured bacterium. RNAcentral's name for it is "partial 16S ribosomal RNA". It matches the Rfam family "Bacterial small subunit ribosomal RNA", at positions 524 to 776 of the family's 1533-position model. The record is from RNAcentral.
UACAGAGGUGGCAAGCGUUGUUCGGAAUUACUGGGCGUAAAGGGCGCGUAGGCGGUUCGUUAAGUCCUGUGUGAAAUCCCCCGGCUCAACUGGGGAACUGCACAGGAAACUAGCGGGCUUGAGUUCGGGAGAGGGAAGCGGAAUUCCGGGUGUAGCGGUGAAAUGCGUAGAUAUCGGGAGGAACACCUGUGGCGAAAGCGGCGCACUGGACCACAACUGACGCUGAGGCGCGAAAGCUAGGGGAGCAAACAGG